ACAGAGGUGCCGAGCGUUAGGCGGAAUCACUGGGCUUAAAGCGUGUGUAGGCGGAUCGUUAAGUACCUUGUGAAAUCCCACGGCUCAACCGUGGAACUGCUGGGUAUACUGGCGGUCUUGAGCCACCUAGGGGCGAGCGGAACAAGCGGUGGAGCGGUGAAAUGCGUAGAUAUCGCUUGGAACGCCGAAGGUGAAAACAGCUCGCUGGGGCUGCGCUGACGCU
RNAcentral lists this ribosomal RNA (223 nucleotides) under uncultured prokaryote. Its description in RNAcentral is "partial 16S ribosomal RNA". It matches the Rfam family "Bacterial small subunit ribosomal RNA", at positions 525 to 747 of the family's 1533-position model. The record is from RNAcentral.